RNAcentral lists this long non-coding RNA (5607 nucleotides) under Solanum tuberosum (potato). RNAcentral's name for it is "long non-coding RNA (STUB_LNC010133)". Lineage: Eukaryota; Viridiplantae; Streptophyta; Magnoliopsida; Solanales; Solanaceae. The record is from RNAcentral.
CGCAUUUUUAAUGCUUGUUAUGCUCAUUCAUAUUGAUAAAUAAUAAUAAUUACAACAAUCAUUCUGAAAAGUUCAAUUUAUUUCAUAUAUCGACAACAAAAAUAACCACUAAUCCAUAAUUUCAUAGUUACCAACAACAUAACAAAAUAAUGUAAACUAUUUGAACCGUAUAACUAGUGUUAUUUUGUCUAAUAAUUAGUGAGUUAGAUAGCUAGCUAUAAUACAAGACAAUAAAGGGUACAUAAAAACUUCUGACACUUGAACAUAUGAUGAAGUCUUCCACAUGUCAAAUAUUUCGACAUCAUAACCUGAAAUAAUAAAAUAAGAUGGAUAUCAACAUUAUUUAUGAUAGGACAUAGUAUUACUACUGCUUUAUAACAUUUGACUACUAACAAUCAGACUCUGCACUUUGUCUAUGCACUUAUUUGUAACAAUAGUCCUAUUUGCAAGAAAUUAAAUUGUACAAUUUCGAGCUGGAGAAUAAAAGUAUAGAUCCCAAAAUAUAUGUGCUUCAAAACUUAGAUAUGCAUAAGAAUAAUUUAAAGAUAUUCAACUUAAAGUAAUUGGUUUGAAUCUAAGCUUUCAUGAGGUGCAAGCNNNNNNNNNNNNNNNNNNNNNNNNNNNNNNNNNNNNNNNNNNNNNNNNNNNNNNNNNNNNNNNNNNNNNNNNNNNNNNNNNNNUUAUACAUCUUUUACUUUUAUUUGUUUUGUUUUUGGUUAAGCCCGCUAAAUGAAUAAGAGAAAUUACAUGAAGUUCCUCAAAUAAAAAAUGCAUAGAGGAGUACAAAAUCUAUUUUAAAUUAAGACUACAUAUUAAAAGUUUACUUGGAGAAAGAAUCAACAUUUAUAAACUAAAAUCCUCGCUAGCUAAGUUACAAAUUAAGAAGCUUCAAAGAGAGCAUACUAAUAAGUAGAGUAAUGGCACUGAAUGUUGUAACCAUGACCUAUUAUUUCUUAUGCAGUACAAAAUAAACAUUUACAGUGAAGAGUGCAGAAACGGGAAUGGGCUUUUUGAGUGUUUGUACAUACUUGUUAGAUUUGCCAGAGAAGAUUUCAGGGAUUGAGAAUUCGAUUUGUUGUUCCUAUUGUAUAACAUUUUGCUUAGUAAAGUAAGGUGGUAGAGUUUUCUACCGCAUACAACAAAAGAAAGUUGUAAAUGACCAAACUCGUAUAUUAACAUUCCAUGGAGUACGCAAACAAUCAGAAUGCAAAUAUCGAUGAAAUGAAAGACAAAAACUCAUGUCGAACCUGGCUUGUUGGGUGUUUCUUGUUUUGCUUUCUUUGCCAGAGCCAGGAGCUACUUAGGAGAUGGAGCUGGUCUCUUUUUCUUUUCAACCUUCAUCAUAAAACAUCAAUCACAUAAAAGACGAUGCUAAUUAAGAUAAAUGUAGGCUCACGAGAAAAAAAUGAACAAACAUAAAGAUAAAAAAUUUAGUACUACCUCUUUUUGAUGUAUCUUCUUCUAAAUCUUCAUCUCCAUCCAAAUCAUCAAAAAAAUCCAUUACUUAAGGACCAUAAAAAUCCUAGUAAUCCAAAAUUUAAAAAAAUUAUGUACACCCAGAAAAAAUAUAAGAUAAAGCAUUUCUCCCUGUAUUAAAAGGUAAAAUCUACAUAAUAAGCAUCACAAAAAACUUUAUGAAUGGCACCAUGGCUACAGGCACAUCACUGGAGACAUCAUCACUACCAUCUUCAAAAUCAUCAUCAUCUUUGUUAGAUGUCGGUUCUUUUUUUGGUUCUGCCACCUUCGCAUUUUUCUCAAUAAAUGCAACCUUAGUAAGUGCAGACUUUUUUGAAUCAUGCUUUAUAUCCUUCACAUUAUCCUCAAGUUUUCCAUUUAUGCAUCUAAAACAUUCUCUUCAUGUAAAAAAAUAUCACCUCUAGAAUCAAUUUCAUCAACGCUCAGAUCAUCAAUUGUGCAUACAAUUAAAUACACACUCCCAUUUGUUUUAGUCAUGACUCAUGUAAAAUUUUAAACUCCUUUUCAAGGACCAAGUCAAACAUCAACUAAGGUCUAUCCUCUGCCGGUAGAGUUCCAAUGAUGUAAUUAUUUUCUCCAACAGUUAGGCGUAGAGGAACAUGUUUUACUUCUUUGGCAUACUUCACUUCAUCUAUUGCAGCCUACAAAAUAAAGAUCCCUAAUAGCCAUUUAAGAGUAAAGCCACAUUAUGCUAGCUUGAGAAAGAACACAAAUAUAAUUUAUUUAUUUUUAAAAAAAGAAAGCUAACCUUGUAAAUAUGAAUGAGCUUAUAAAGUUCAGGCUUGAUUUAGAAAUCGUCUUACUUUCACUUCAACACCUAUACAUAGCUCAUGUGAAAGAUAUGUCACACUUUAAUAAAUUAUGUUCAUAUGGUGUAAUUUCUGCAUCAUGAAAAUAAUUGACCAAAACCAUGUUAAGGUAUAGAUUAAAAAAAUAAGCACAUGUAUCAGUGGUUCAAUUUAUGUAUACAUAUACAAACCGAUCUAUACCUUUUUCUAGUUAUUUGGUUUUGAUUCUAGUAUGCAAUUUUAACUCCUAUUUUCUCUGCAUCUAGUUGCUAGAAACAUAAAAAAAUUCCUUUAAAUGAUACAAACAUCUGUAGCAGAAAAAUCAUGACGUCUUAAGCCUUCAAGAUUCAAUCCAUGAAGCUUAACUUUUUUUCUCAGAUACAAUAAUAUACUUUGGAACAUCGUUAGAAACCUGGAGAACAAAAUAACUAAGAUCCUAAAAAGAAACAUAUGUGAUCUUAAAUAUAGUUAGUGUGUUGUAGUCGUAUAAUAUAUGUGCUUUCAAUGUGAGAAAUGUAGAAGAACUAAUUUUAAUAUAUUCAACUUAAAGUAAGUGGUUCGAAACUAAACUUUAAUGAGGUGCAUCUCACAAACAAACUUAAAAGUAUAGCAAUUACAGAUGUAUUGCUAUCUUGAAUUAUGUUUGCAUUUAGGAAAACAACCAAAAUAUGAAACUAUUGAUAUCUUAAUUUAUCAUACGAGGAGUAUUGAGUCUUUCAAAGAAUUAAAAGACAUCAAAAAUUAAGAAAGAAUCUUACCACUGAACCACCACCAAGGAAUGAAAAAGAACCAAUACGGUAAAUUAAUGAACAACAAUAGCUCCUGUAGUGUGGCCGUAGUCCUGUAUGUGAAGAAUUUAAAUUAUCAUCUAUCAGUUAUACUAAAUUUCCAGAAUAGGUCAUGCUUCAUGAAAAUGACUAAAACGAAAUAGUCAACCACAACAUGACCUGCAAGAAGUGUGGUGUUUUUCACUAGAAAGCAAUACAUAUUUUUUCAAUACGUUAAAACUAAAGUGUAUCUAUUUGAAGAUACAAAGAUUUAGUUGGUUGUGUAUAUACAAGGACAUCAAUUAAGAUUUCAGUCUCAAGUUUAUUCAUUUCCAAAUUUUCUAUAAUGGAUCUAAGAACGGAUUGAAGCUUUUAUCUGUAAGAGUUAUUAGCAUUCCACACAAGUUGAAUUAGAUUAGCCUUUUAUGAAACAAAUGCAUUAAUACUACAAAGUAGAAAUAUAUUCUUUUGCUUUGAUAGCUCAUUUAUUUCCUAUUAGUAUAGUAAAUUUUUAAUCAAGCAUGAGUUCAUGUAGGAAUUUUUUUAUCCCUUAUAAACUUAUUAGUGAAUCAAAAGCUACUUAAUCUUUGCAAGAGAGUGAUAAGCAGUAUAACACAAUUAUAGCAUCCAAAUUACAAAUGACAUAAUGCAUGAGGGAUAUCAUAAUAAAAUCAAAUUUCCUAUAACUUCUGGGAUUAUAUUUAUAGGAAAACAAGGAAUUUCACCUCAAAGGGAUAAGGGGCAGAACACAUAGGGUACAACCUCCACUAAUAAUACUGAUAAUUAUCACUAGCGAUAGUAAUAUUUUUGAGAUAGAACAAGAAAUAGUAUUGUUAUACUUGGUGGAUACACUCUACUCCAAGAUUUUCCUGAUCGGGACCUAGACUUUAGGUACUUUCUUAACACAUGAAUUUGUACAUCAGCAAAUCUACACAGGAAAGAAGCACAUACAUGAAGAAAGUAAUCUGAAGAUCUCAUUCAGUAACCUCUAAAAAUUCAUAAGCAUUUUUAUUUCUAAAAUCUUAUACUCUUAGGAAACAUAAAUUGAUUGGAGUACACACACUAAUUCACCAACCUCUAAAAUUUCAAGAGAAUUUAGAUUUCCUAGCUUCUUACAAUUCCGCAGCAAUAAGACUCAAAGUCCUUCAAAUAUCGAUAGUUGAUGUUUGGAUAAAAGACAACUAGAAGGGACACUCUCCUCUCAUCUUCAAUGUUUCUCUCUUUGGUGAAUUCAACAUACAUAAUCUAAUGUUAUUCCUGUUUGAUCAAAAUAUUCAUCCGAGAACCUACGUUAUUUGGUAAUCAUACAGACAUAUAUUCAUGUGUGCUCUAGUUAUAUACAAACAUGAUUAUUCAAGAAAUCACCAUCCAUGUUUUUUACAUAACUUCAAUUAGACUACAGAUCACACAUUAGUCACCUUAUAAUGCAAUAUAUAUUGAUGUUUUCAAGAAAUUAAAACAAAUCUCAAUCACAGAGAGAUCUGAAUGCUAUAGAUUCAGGUAAAAAACAUCAAUUUUUAUUAAUGAUACACAGAGAACUUCUGAACAACCAAAGUAAAGAUAAAAGAAUCGGCGAAACAGAGGAAUCAAAUCAAGUGAUUUUCCAUCAAUUCAACAGCAGUCAGAGAUCAUAUAUUAUGAUUUAACAAACUCAAGAAAUCUAUAAUUUCACAAAUCAUAGAUUGCCAUAGUUAGACAUCACAAAAUGCAAUUUGACAUGGUAUCAAGUAUUUCGGUACUUGAUAAGAAGAAUAUUUUACCAAAAAAGACCAAAAUGUUAAGGAGAAGAAUUAUUAAGGUAACAAUCUGAAACUUACAUGAAUGUAGAAGAUGAAGAUGAUGACAAGGAGAAGAUUUAAACAUCGGUGGUUCAGCAAUAUCGACCUAAAGUCAUGACUCUGACUAUAAAUAGAUGAUGUCUAGUGAUGGGUAAGGCUACCAUAGAAGAUGAUCAGCGUAUAUGGCAGUCAUGGUGCCGCGAGGCGGAGAGCUUUAGAGCAGCAAUGUGGAAUUAGAAUGAGUAGGGUUUUUAGUUAUUUCUUUUGUUAAUUAUUGGAGGAAACAUCUAAUAGUGGUGAAAAACUAGGAGGGAAAAAUGACAAAAUUGUUUUCAAUUAGUAAUUUUUACGUGCAAAUUAUUUUUAUUGUCGGUAAAAAAUAAAUUUUAGUGGCCAAUGUUUAUGGGCCAGUAGUAUCUCAAUGUAAAUAAUUAAUUAGUGGCAAUUGACUUAUUAUCAUUAAAUAAUUAUCGCUAAAAGGCGCCUUUUUGUAGUAGUGUGAGGUUCAUAUGCAAGGCAAUACUAGCAAUACUAAUGUGGGAAUUGUGGAAAAGGAGAAAUGCAAGAAGGCAUGGAAAGGAAAUUACUUUUUAUAAGCUAGAGCAAAAAUGUCAGACCAUAAUAACACAGCUUAUAAGAAGUAAAUACCCGUGGAUAACAGUUCCUAAAGGGUGGGACACAAUUGUAGAGGUACUAAGAAGAUACAGGCCAAGAUUGCACUAUCACGCUGUGAGGUGGAUAAAACCGCAACAAGAUAAAUUUAAGUGCAACACGGAUGAAGCUAGCAGAGGUAACCCA